UACGUAGGGUGCAAGCGUUGUCCGGAAUUAUUGGGCGUAAAGAGCUCGUAGGCGGUCUGUUACGUCGGCUGUGAAAACCUGGGGCUCAACCCCGGGCCUGCAACCGAUACGGGCAGACUUGAGUACUGCAGGGGAGACUGGAAUUCCUGGUGUAGCGGUGGAAUGCGCAGAUAUCAGGAGGAACACCGGUGGCGAAGGCGGGUCUCUGGGCAGUAACUGACGCUGAGGAGCGAAAGCGUGGGGAGCGAACGGG
Molecule: ribosomal RNA, 253 nt
Filed under: uncultured bacterium
Lineage: Bacteria
Description: partial 16S ribosomal RNA
Rfam family: Bacterial small subunit ribosomal RNA
Source: RNAcentral